GUUCCAGUAGCGCAUUGGACAGCGCUUUGGAUUUCUAAUCCAAAGUUCGUGGGUUCGAAUCCCCACCUGGGAUG
Molecule: non-coding RNA, 74 nt
Organism: Trichonephila clavata
Lineage: Eukaryota; Metazoa; Arthropoda; Arachnida; Araneae; Nephilidae
Source: the annotation of a GenBank genome assembly